Molecule: long non-coding RNA, 538 nt
Organism: Ornithodoros turicata
Lineage: Eukaryota; Metazoa; Arthropoda; Arachnida; Ixodida; Argasidae
Exons: 3
Source: RefSeq, a predicted model, not a curated record
ACUAGGACGUUCAUUUUUCCAGUGAGCGGAGAAAGCAAAAGCUAAGCACCACUUUGCGGGAGUGCUGGACCUGGAAAAAAGCGCAUCGUCUCGGGGAUGUGGGAUUCAAAAGAUGAAACGGAUGUGGAGAAGAAAAAGAAGUGUGGUCUUUACAAAUUGGAUUCCGCGCGGACUACGGCGACGACGAAGACGACGAAGACGACGACUUGGUCAGUAUAGCAGUGAGCGGCGAGCGCUCUCCCCGAAGAAGGCAAUCGCUGGAACUUACGCCCAGCUUCCGAACAAUUUCACGUCCCAGAAAAUGCGAAAUCGAUGGUCCGUUCGGUGCUCGGAGCAUCGCUGAAUGUUCGGACUUGAGUUCGUCUUGCGUGUGAUGGGCUUCUAGCCCGCGUGACCUCAUGAAGUGAGGAGAAAUAACUCGGUUGAAAAAUUGAAGAAGAAUGUGGCUAUGCUUCAUCGUAAUCGAAGACACCGCAACUCCAGAGAGACAGUGAAGGAUAAGACAAUAAUAUGAAGUGGAGGCAACGUACAUGAUGAU